GUAGGAGAACCUGUAGCUGG
RNAcentral lists this ribosomal RNA (20 nucleotides) under Loma richardi. Its description in RNAcentral is "partial small subunit ribosomal RNA". Lineage: Eukaryota; Fungi; Microsporidia; Glugeidae. The record is from RNAcentral.